AAGAAAGACUUGGAGUAAACAAAGGCUUCUAACCUAAGUUUGAGAGGUUCGAUCCCUAUCCUUUCUUU
This 68-nucleotide transfer RNA is filed under the name Glycera americana (American bloodworm). RNAcentral describes it as "tRNA-Ser". Lineage: Eukaryota; Metazoa; Annelida; Polychaeta; Phyllodocida; Glyceridae. The record is from RNAcentral.